GACGAACGCUGGCGGCGUGCCUAAUACAUGCAAGUAGAACGCUGAAGGAGGAGCUUGCUUCUCUGGAUGAGUUGCGAACGGGUGAGUAACGCGUAGGUAACCUGCCUGGUAGCGGGGGAUAACUAUUGGAAACGAUAGCUAAUACCGCAUAAGAGUAGAUGUUGCAUGACAUUUGCUUAAAAGGUGCAAUUGCAUCACUACCAGAUGGACCUGCGUUGUAUUAGCUAGUUGGUGAGGUAACGGCUCACCAAGGCAACGAUACAUAGCCGACCUGAGAGGGUGAUCGGCCACACUGGGACUGAGACACGGCCCAGACUCCUACGGGAGGCAGCAGUAGGGAAUCUUCGGCAAUGGACGGAAGUCUGACCGAGCAACGCCGCGUGAGUGAAGAAGGUUUUCGGAUCGUAAAGCUCUGUUGUAAGAGAAGAACGAGUGUAAGAGUGGAAAUUUCACACUGGACG
This 461-nucleotide ribosomal RNA is filed under the name Streptococcus mitis. RNAcentral's name for it is "bacterial SSU rRNA". It matches the Rfam family "Bacterial small subunit ribosomal RNA", at positions 28 to 474 of the family's 1533-position model. The record is from RNAcentral. Lineage: Bacteria; Bacillati; Bacillota; Bacilli; Lactobacillales; Streptococcaceae.